UGGGGAAUAUUGGACAAUGGGCGAAAGCCUGAUCCAGCAAUGCCGCGUGAGUGAUGAAGGCCUUCGGGUUGUAAAGUACUUUCAGCGGGGAGGAAGGCGACGGGGUUAAUAACCCUGUCGAUUGACGUUACCCGCAGCAGAAGCACCGGCUAACUCCGUGCCAGCAGCCGCGGUAAUACGGAGGGGGCUAGCGUUGUUCGGAAUUACUGGGCGUAAAGCGCGCGUAGGCGGCUUUGUAAGUUAGAGGUGAAAGCCCGGGGCUCAACUCCGGAACUGCCUUUAAGACUGCAUCGCUAGAAUCGUGGAGAGGUGAGUGGAAUUCCGAGUGUAGAGGUGAAAUUCGUAGAUAUUCGGAAGAACACCAGUGGCGAAGGCGACUCGCUGGACAGGUAUUGACGCUGAGGUGCGAAAGCGUGGGGAGCAAAC
RNAcentral lists this ribosomal RNA (426 nucleotides) under uncultured bacterium. RNAcentral's name for it is "bacterial SSU rRNA". It matches the Rfam family "Bacterial small subunit ribosomal RNA", at positions 355 to 773 of the family's 1533-position model. The record is from RNAcentral.